AAGAUCGUAUCAUGACCUCUGUAUAAAUCAGAAUUAUGGAAAGCAGCUGUUUCAUUGAAAUUCACCGACACACAAUCGGCUAACGAAGAUGUAAAUCAAAUUUCUGUGUGUGUCCUUAAAUCAGUUUCAUAAUUCAAAUAUCUGUGUGUGUCCUUAAAUCAGUUUCAUAAUUCAAAUUUCUGUGUGUAUCCUUAAAUCAGUUUCAUAAAGAUCGUGAUUUCUGUUCAAACAUUGUUUAAUGCAAUAUUUUCUAUGUCAUGUGUACAUUGUAAAUAAAUCUUCUUUUUUAUUAGGAAUUGUAACAAAUGUGGACCUAACACAUUGCAUGCAUACAGUGGUUCAGCGUGUUAGAUGGAGGACGACAAUGCUAACUUAAAGCAAACAGAAACUGUAAUUCCAAAGUGUUCAACCAACUAUAUAUAUACAUUAUUUGAAAAAAAUGUAUAACAACAACAAUAAUAAAAAAAAAAACAGUUUGAAAAACACGCGUGCAAAUAUUUAGUCUCUUCAGUUGUUUUCCUACACAUGUAUACAAAUAGACAAGAACAAACUCAUCGUUUCGAAAUUAUCUACGCAUCUGUGUGGUUAUCAAACGAACCUCGUUGAGUCGAAGUCAAAGGGAUUGCAUGAAAGUAUUCUUCUUAUCCGAGGUUCGACUCAGCCAAUGAAAUCGAUGUAGGCGUAAAGUAUUUAUUUUUGGGUUUCAAUACACAAAUACUUGUUGAAAGCGAAACAUAUACAAUAAUUACAGUUUUAUAAUCAUUUUACUUCAUCCUAAUUUGUCUCAGUAUGUUAUUGUUAAUUGUAUAAGCAUGGCACUAUCGCACGUUGUAAUUUUUUAGCAUAAAAGGCCAACCCGUUAAUAAUCAAUGAAAAUUCUAGCCAAAGUGUCAUGUCUUAAAUAUAAUAUAAACUGACACGUUUUGGUGUCUAAAAUAGAUAUUUAUGUGUGUAUUCAAUAUAAGCGCAUGGUGCAUUAGAUAUUUAUGUGUGUAUUCAAUACAAGCGCAUGGUGCAUUAGUCGCCAUUUUACAUCGGGGAAUGGGAAUUAAUGAAGGAUAAAUGUAUUCAGAAAAAGCCUGUGAUUUGUGUAUUUUUGUACAUAUUGUUGUGUUGUUGUAUACUUUUUAGACGUAUGUAUAUACCACCUCCCUCCAGAAAAAAAAAUCAAAAAUAAAGAUCCAUCAAUUAAUAUUUCAAAUUAAGAUAGUAUAUAGUUCCGGUUGGCUAUACUUUUAUAGCAUCUCGGCUUUGAGAUGAGGACUUGGUUAAAUGCCUGAUUAGGAACGUUUGCUAUGUAUGCAUUAAAAAGACUAUGCAGUUAAUCAUGUUAAUGGUCAAAGCAAUGUUGAUCCCUUCGUUAAUUCGAUGUUGUCCUAAUAUUAAACUGUGUAUAGAAAAAUGCACAGCUAAAACUGAUUAUAUUACUGUUUUUUUCUUUUGAAAGGUAAGCUAAUCUAAGCUGAAUUCCUACUUUCAUCACAAUAUGUAAAUUUCAAACACGAUUGUUGCAAUUUUUGAAAAAGUGGCUUGACAAAUUAUUUCUUAUAUAAAGGAAUUAUUUAUCACAGAACAAUAAUUAUUUCUAUCUUAAUUCCUAGGAAUUGAAUAAAUAUACAUGUUGUGGUCAUAAAUUGGUGCUAUAAUUUAUUGAAAGUAAAGUCGAAACUCGUUAAGUCGAAGUCGAAGGGAUCGGACUAAAAUAUUCUAAUCAUCUGAAGUUCGACUCAUCCGAGAUCGAGUGUGUCGUCAUAAAUUUGGAAUGAAUGAAAUUCGGUAUGAUAUUUGUGAAAACUAAAUAUUUUGAACAGUGGGCCUUUUUUCGACAUGAUAACUCGUAUUUGUGGAUUGAAACUCCCUAUUAUCAGUCCAUCAUAUUAAUUAAACACACAAGUACAGAUACAAAAUAUUCACGAUUGAAAUUAAAACAAAAAUAUUUUCAAAGGUCUGUCUUUUUAAAUUAUGGAAUCACUCGCAGAACGAAACAAGUUCUGAAAGAUCUCUGAUGAGGGUCGUCUGCUUUGUAUUCAAUUAUUGUAAAUUUGCUAUAUUUGUCUUCAAAUAAUUAAUUUUAAAUUUAUGACGACACACUCGACCGCGGAAUAGUCGAACCUCGAAUAAUUGGAAUACUUUCAUCCGGUCCCUUCGACUUUGAUUUAACAAGGUUCGACUGUAAUGUAAAAAUAAAAUAAAAUAAAUCACAUUUACAAGGAUAUUUGCCUAAAUACAAUUUGUUAUACCAUCACAAAAAUGAUCAAAACCUUCAAUUUUGUUCAGCAUGCCGCAAUCGACAUUAUGUACUUAAAAAUCUCUCGAUUAUGUGUAUUUGAGUUUGUAGAACUCGUAUGCAUUUGUAAUUGAUUAACUGUCAGUCAAUCAAGUUUAUGCUGUUCAACAAUACACUAGUGAUUUGUUUGCGUUCAUUUUCCCUUAAUUAUACACAGUGAAAAUUUACAUUACCCAAAUUGUCAUCAAAUUGCAA
Mytilus californianus (California mussel) is the source of this 2482-nucleotide long non-coding RNA. RefSeq lists it as uncharacterized. The transcript is spliced from 2 exons. NCBI's taxonomy places the organism in Eukaryota, Metazoa, Mollusca, Bivalvia, Mytilida, Mytilidae. The record is from RefSeq and is a predicted model, not a curated record.